GUUCGAUUCGAGCGCAGCGAGAAAGCGUUGACGCAGGCAACGACCCGAAGGGCGAAGCGCGCAGCGCUGAGUAAUCCUUCCCCCGUCAUCC
RNAcentral lists this small RNA (91 nucleotides) under Salmonella enterica subsp. enterica serovar Kentucky. RNAcentral describes it as "partial RtT sRNA". It matches the Rfam family "RtT RNA", at positions 41 to 130 of the family's 130-position model. Rfam says of the family: This family represents a bacterial cis-regulatory element known as RtT RNA. The exact function of RtT is unknown although it is thought that it may be involved in changing the cellular response in relation to amino acid starvation. Lineage: Bacteria; Pseudomonadati; Pseudomonadota; Gammaproteobacteria; Enterobacterales; Enterobacteriaceae. The record is from RNAcentral.